Molecule: long non-coding RNA, 367 nt
Organism: Mauremys mutica (yellowpond turtle)
Lineage: Eukaryota; Metazoa; Chordata; Testudines; Geoemydidae
Exons: 3
Source: RefSeq, a predicted model, not a curated record
ACUUCCAGAAAGAAAUAAAAAGUAAUUUAUAACUAAGACAGUAAAAUGUAAGUUCCCUAAAUUUACCUUUGGCUAGGAUACUGAAAUUAACACCCCCAAUUCUUCUGAAAAGUGUUGCAUUGAUCAAAGGACCAAACAUCAAUCCUCCUGGUCAUAUUCAUCGUCUUCUUCAUGUUGAGUUUGCAGAGCUCCACUGUCAAAGUCAAGUGACAUUGUUUUCUAAUAAGAUUCCAAGCUGAUCCAUCAAGAUUCAUCACUUCACUGAAAAAUGAACCAGCACAUGAAAUGAACCAUGUAAUCAAAUGAUUCUCAGGGUAAACACGUUCCAUGAGUCUGUCCACAACAAAACUAGCCAUACAAAUGCCAU